UUUUUUUUCUCUUUUUCUUCCCCCAGGUCAUCUAGCUUCAACCUUUUAUUAAAGAUAUGAAGGAAUCAGUAGUGAGAGAAAUUAAAUUCACUUGUCAUCCUUGACUUCCGCAAGUCACAUGAGGGUGAUACCAUACCUACUAACAACUGCUGGCUGGAAGCAUGACUGGAGCAGCAGGAUUCAACAGUGGAAGCCAAUAGUCUACUGUCCAAUAGGCUGCAAAUUUCCACCUGAUUUUAUUGUGUGUUAAAUUUCCCCUUGACAAAAAGGUGUAAGUUCAAAGGAUUGAAUACUGUCCUGCUAUGGAGCAAAUGUUCAAUUUAGACUACUUGGUACUGGCUAACAGGAGUUCACAUCUAAAGUACAGUCCUUGCAGAUGGCAGCCAUCAUUUAAAUUGGUAGUGGGUAAUACUCUGGGAGGUUUCUGAAGGUUUUGAUUCUGCUAAUGGUGAUCUCCUAAACCUGAGGCAUGCGACAGGUAAUGCUACUGGAGUGAUUCAAUAGGAGCUUGCUUUUCAAGACUCCUGCACCAUCCUGGUUUCCUGGUGACCAGCUGUAAACAGUGAGGAAAAUGGUGCAGAACCUGCUGUCUCUCAGGGAUAUACUGAGACACCUGAGCCCAGGUUUUGGUAUGAGUGGCUCUUACGUGUUUUCAUUGGCUGUGUGACUCUAUCCUGAAAUAAGAGUAAUUUGACUCUUAAGCUCUGUGUAGAUAUAAAGUGUCUCAUUUCAGCUUUCAUUAGCUGAGGUUUUUAAUUGGAAAUUUACUAUGCCACUUUACCAGCUUAUGCUUAGCGUUGUUUGGAAUGGGUCUGUCUCACACUCACCAGCAAGUCUGUGUUUAGUUAUAUAGUGUGUAAUUUGGGCUUUUCCUAGAUGGGUUUUAAUUGUAAUUUCCUCAUAAACCCAAAGGUUAAUGAAAUGCAAGAUUCAUUUUUAGGUUUAUUUUAGGAAGUCCUCAUUUGGAUUAUAUGCAUGCAUUUCAAAGACAGUUAUUACUCUUUUGGUCACCAAGCUACCUAGACAGACCAAAA
Long non-coding RNA from Pezoporus flaviventris, 1034 nucleotides. RefSeq lists it as uncharacterized. The record is from RefSeq and is a predicted model, not a curated record. The transcript has 2 exons. Lineage: Eukaryota; Metazoa; Chordata; Aves; Psittaciformes; Psittacidae.